This 270-nucleotide long non-coding RNA is filed under the name Brassica rapa (field mustard). Its description in RNAcentral is "long non-coding RNA (BRAP_LNC007410)". Lineage: Eukaryota; Viridiplantae; Streptophyta; Magnoliopsida; Brassicales; Brassicaceae. The record is from RNAcentral.
UCGAAUAUAAUUAAACAAUGGCUAAAAUGGUAAAAGAACGGAUAAAACAAUAUUUAUUACAAGUAAAAUCUACAAAAUCAAAAUAAAUUGCUGGAGGUAAUGGUGUAUAAUCAGGUGCUGGAGAGAGCACGGACAGCUUCCUCAGAGUAAGGGUGAAUAAAAGCACUGUUCAUUUGCCAGACUUUGAACGACGCCGUAACAGUCGCAUCAAUGGCAUUGUUGAAUACAAAAAGCUUAGCUGCUCCAUAGAUGGCUUUUGUUGGAUAUACC